RNAcentral lists this ribosomal RNA (323 nucleotides) under uncultured bacterium. Its description in RNAcentral is "bacterial SSU rRNA". It matches the Rfam family "Bacterial small subunit ribosomal RNA", at positions 28 to 334 of the family's 1533-position model. The record is from RNAcentral.
GACGAACGCUGGCGGCGUGCCUAACACAUGCAAGUCGAACGAAGCUUGAUCACGGAUUCUUCGGAUGAAGUGUGAUAUGACUUAGUGGCGGACGGGUGAGUAACGCGUGAGCAACCUGCCUUUCAGAGGGGGAUAACAGUUGGAAACGACUGCUAAUACCGCAUAAUAUAUAUUUAAGGCAUCUUAGAUAUAUCAAAGCUGAGGCGCUGAAAGAUGGGCUCGCGUCCGAUUAGGUAGUUGGUGGGGUAACGGCCUACCAAGCCGACGAUCGGUAGCCGGACUGAGAGGUUGAACGGCCACAUUGGGACUGAGACACGGCCCAG